Molecule: long non-coding RNA, 375 nt
Filed under: Pan troglodytes (chimpanzee)
Lineage: Eukaryota; Metazoa; Chordata; Mammalia; Primates; Hominidae
Description: long non-coding RNA NONPTRT008860
Source: RNAcentral
UGCUUAUGGGUCUGGGCAGCAUCCUUGUUCUCAAGCAGUAAGAGGAUUCCAAAGGGCAUUUUAGGUGUUAUUCAGCAGGCACUUUCAGGGAUUUGACUUCUUUCUGGUUUGGUCUUGGGACAGUGUAUGUGUCCAGGAAUUUCUCCAUUUCUUCUAGAUUUUCUAGUUUAUUUGCAUAGAGGUGUUUAUAGUAUUCUGUGAUAGUAGUUUGUAUUUCUGUGGGAUCACUGGUGAUCUCCCCUUUAUCAUUUUUAUUGUCUGUUUGAUUCUUCUCUCUUUUCUUCUUUAUUUGUCUGGGUAGCGUUCUAUCUAUUUUGUUAGUCUUCAAAACACCAGCUCCUGGAUUCAUUGAUGUUUUGACGGGUUUUUCGUGUC